Molecule: transfer RNA, 74 nt
Filed under: Trichogloeopsis pedicellata
Lineage: Eukaryota; Rhodophyta; Florideophyceae; Nemaliales; Liagoraceae
Description: tRNA-Thr
Rfam family: tRNA
About the family: Transfer RNA (tRNA) molecules are approximately 80 nucleotides in length.
Source: RNAcentral
AGCCCUUAUAGCUCAGUGGUAGAGCAUAUCCUUGGUAAGGAUAAGGCCACGAGUUCAACUCUCGUUAAGGGCUU